RNAcentral lists this ribosomal RNA (289 nucleotides) under uncultured soil bacterium. RNAcentral describes it as "partial 16S ribosomal RNA". It matches the Rfam family "Bacterial small subunit ribosomal RNA", at positions 26 to 314 of the family's 1533-position model. The record is from RNAcentral.
AGACUGAACGCUGGCGGAAUGCUUUACACAUGCAAGUCGAGCGGCAGCGCGGGGCAACCUGGCGGCGAGCGGCGAACGGGUGAGUAAUGCAUCGGAACAUGUCCAUUCGUGGGGGAUAGCCCGGCGAAAGCCGGAUUAAUACCGCAUACGCCCGAGAGGGGAAAGCCGGGGACUCGCAAGAGCCUGGCGCGAAUGGGUUGGCCGAUGCCCGAUUAGCUAGUUGGCGGGGUAACGGCCCACCAAGGCGAUGAUCGGUAGCUGGUCUGGAGAGGAUGACUCACGCCACACG